GGACCAGUGGCGCAAUGGUAACGCGUCGGAUUCCAGUCCCGAAGAUUGUCCGUUCAAUUCGGGCCUGGUUCA
RNAcentral lists this transfer RNA (72 nucleotides) under Sporothrix schenckii ATCC 58251. Its description in RNAcentral is "tRNA-Trp (CCA) (tRNA-Trp-CCA-1-1, tRNA-Trp-CCA-1-2)". It matches the Rfam family "tRNA". From Rfam's summary of the family: Transfer RNA (tRNA) molecules are approximately 80 nucleotides in length. Their secondary structure includes four short double-helical elements and three loops (D, anti-codon, and T loops). The record is from RNAcentral. Lineage: Eukaryota; Fungi; Ascomycota; Sordariomycetes; Ophiostomatales; Ophiostomataceae.